GACGAACGCUGGCGGCGUGCCUAAUACAUGCGAGUUGAGCGCUGAAGGUUGGUACUUGUACCAACUGGAUGAGCAGCGAACGGGUGAGUAACGCGUGGGGAAUCUGCCUUUGAGCGGGGGACAACAUUUGGAAACGAAUGCUAAUACCGCAUAAAAACUUUAAACACAAGUUUUAAGUUUGAAAGAUGCAAUUGCAUCACUCAAAGAUGAUCCCGCGUUGUAUUAGCUAGUUGGUGAGGUAAAGGCUCACCAAGGCGAUGAUACAUAGCCGACCUGAGAGGGUGAUCGGCCACAUUGGGACUGAGACACGGCCCAAACUCCUACGGGAGGCAGCAGUAGGGAAUCUUCGGCAAUGGACGAAAGUCUGACCGAGCAACGCCGCGUGAGUGAAGAAGGUUUUCGGAUCGUAAAACUCUGUUGGUAGAGAAGAACGUUGGUGAGAGUGGAAAGCGCAUCAAGUGACGGUAACUACCCAGAAAGGGACGGCUAACUACGUG
This 497-nucleotide ribosomal RNA is filed under the name uncultured bacterium. Its description in RNAcentral is "partial 16S ribosomal RNA". It matches the Rfam family "Bacterial small subunit ribosomal RNA", at positions 28 to 507 of the family's 1533-position model. The record is from RNAcentral.